Molecule: ribosomal RNA, 252 nt
Filed under: uncultured bacterium
Lineage: Bacteria
Description: partial 16S ribosomal RNA
Rfam family: Archaeal small subunit ribosomal RNA
Source: RNAcentral
CCCCAGCGCCACAAGUUGCAACCAUAUAUUGGGCCUAAAGCGUCCGUAGCCGGUCAUGUAAAUCUCUUGUGAAAUCGUUACGCUUAACGUAAUGGCGUGCGGGAGACACUGCAAGACUUGGAACCAGAAGGGGUCAGAGGUAUUCUUGGGGGAGCGGUAAAAUGCAGUAAUCCCAAGAGGACCACCUGUGGCGAAGGCGUCUGACUAGGAUGGUUUCGACGGUGAGGGACGAAAGCCAGGGGAGCGAUCCGG